This 62-nucleotide transfer RNA is filed under the name Labidocera rotunda. Its description in RNAcentral is "tRNA-Phe". The record is from RNAcentral. Lineage: Eukaryota; Metazoa; Arthropoda; Copepoda; Calanoida; Pontellidae.
ACUUUAAUAGUUUAAAUAAAACAUUGUGUUGAAGCCACAAAAUUAACUACUGUUUUAAAGUU